This is a transfer RNA of 99 nucleotides. It matches the Rfam family "tRNA". From Rfam's summary of the family: Transfer RNA (tRNA) molecules are approximately 80 nucleotides in length. Their secondary structure includes four short double-helical elements and three loops (D, anti-codon, and T loops). The record is from Rfam.
UCCGAUAUGGUGUAGUGGCUAACAUUAUCGCCUCUCACGCAUAGAGAUAUAUCCUAACGUAUUGCGCGAUAGCCCGGGGUUCGAUUCCCCGUGUCGGAA